UACGGAGGAUCCAAGCGUUAUCCGGAUUCAUUGGGUUUAAAGGGUGCGUAGGCGGAAUGAUAAGUCAGUGGUGAAAGCCUGCAGCUUAACUGCAGAACUGCCAUUGAUACUGUCAAUCUUGAGUACAUUUGAUGUGGGCGGAAUGUGUCAUGUAGCGGUGAAAUGCUUAGAUAUGACACAGAACACCGAUUGCGAAGGCAGCUCACAAAACUGUAACUGACGCUGAGGCACGAAAGCGUGGGUAUCAAACAGG
This 253-nucleotide ribosomal RNA is filed under the name uncultured bacterium. Its description in RNAcentral is "partial 16S ribosomal RNA". It matches the Rfam family "Bacterial small subunit ribosomal RNA", at positions 524 to 776 of the family's 1533-position model. The record is from RNAcentral.